This 226-nucleotide unclassified non-coding RNA is filed under the name Hevea brasiliensis (rubber tree). The record is from RNAcentral. Lineage: Eukaryota; Viridiplantae; Streptophyta; Magnoliopsida; Malpighiales; Euphorbiaceae.
AAGUCAUCAGGUCUUAGGCGGUCAUAUGUACUAUUGUAUUGUAGUUGGAUUAAUUGCAACUUUAAAGUCGGUAACUGCUGGAAAAAGAAACUACAAGAGAUAAAGCGCAUCUCAAAAACAGUGGAUCAAUCUAUGAAACUCUCUCAGAAUACUUAUUUACCAUCACUAUUGCCACCAUACUGAGUUGAAUUUCCAUUCCAGAAAGGAUUUCUAUCACCGAACUGGC